RNAcentral lists this ribosomal RNA (2896 nucleotides) under Clostridioides difficile. Its description in RNAcentral is "23S ribosomal RNA". It matches the Rfam family "Bacterial large subunit ribosomal RNA". Lineage: Bacteria; Bacillati; Bacillota; Clostridia; Peptostreptococcales; Peptostreptococcaceae. The record is from RNAcentral.
UCAAGUUAUUAAGGGUGCAGGGCGGAUGCCUUGGCACUAGGAGCCGAUGAAGGACGUGAUAAGCUGCGAUAAGCUUCGGGGAGUUGCACGUAAACUUUGAUCCGAAGAUUUCCGAAUGAGGAAACUCACUUAGAGUAAUGUCUAAGUAUCAUUAAGUGAAUACAUAGCUUAAUGAGGGGAACUCAGGGAACUGAAACAUCUAAGUACCUGAAGGAAGAGAAAGAAAUUCGAUUCCGUAAGUAGCGGCGAGCGAACGCGGAUUAGCCCAAACCAAUAAAGUUUUCUUUAUUGGGGUUGCGGACAUAUCAUAACGAAGAGGUAUCGUAAUUGAAGAGGUUUGGAAAGACCCACCACAGAAGGUAAUAGUCCUGUAUGUUAAACGAGAAGACUUCAGAUAUGAUCCAGAGUACCACGGGACACGUGAAACCCUGUGGGAAGCAGGAGGGACCACCCUCCAAGGCUAAAUACUACCUAGUGACCGAUAGCGUAUAGUACCGUGAGGGAAAGGUGAAAAGAACCCCGGGAGGGGAGUGAAAUAGAACCUGAAACCCUGCACUUACAAGCUGUGGAAGCACAUUUCUUGUGUGACCGCGUACUUUUUGUAGAACGGGCCAACGAGUUACGUUAAGUAGCAAGGUUAAGCACUUAAGGUGUGGAGCCGUAGCGAAAGCGAGUUUUAACUGAGCGUUCAGUUACUUGACGUAGACCCGAAACCGGGCGACCUACCCAUGAGCAGGAUGAAGCGAAAGUAAAAUUUCGUGGAGGUCCGAACCCACGAGCGUUGAAAAGCUCGGGGAUGACUUGUGGGUAGCGGUGAAAUUCCAAUCGAGCCCGGAGAUAGCUGGUUCUCCCCGAAAUAGCUUUAGGGCUAGCCUCAAGGUGAGAGAUACGGAGGUAGAGCACUGAAUGUCCUAGGGGGUAUUGCACCUACCGAAGACUAUCAAACUCCGAAUGCCGUCAUCUUAUACUUGGGAGUCAGACUGUGGGUGAUAAGAUUCAUAGUCGAAAGGGCAACAGCCCAGAUCGUCAGCUAAGGUCCCUAAAUGUAAGUUAAGUGGUAAAGGAUGUGGGAUUGCACAGACAACCAGGAUGUUGGCUUAGAAGCAGCCACUCAUUCAAAGAGUGCGUAAUAGCUCACUGGUCGAGUGAUCCUGCGCCGAAGAUUUCCGGGGCUAAAACUUACUACCGAAGCUACGGCAUCAGUAAUGAUGGGUAGGGGAGCUUCCCAUACGGGUUGAAGCAUGACCGUAAGGACAUGUGGACAGUAUGGGAGUGAGAAUGUUGGCAUGAGUAGCGAGAUGUGGGUGAGAAUCCCACAGGCCGUAAACCCAAGGUUUCCAGGGGAAGGUUCGUCCGCCCUGGGUUAGUCGGGACCUAAGCUGAGGCCGAAAGGCGUAGGUGAUGGACAACAGGUUGAUAUUCCUGUACUACCGAUAACCGUUUGAGAGAAGGGAUGACACAGUAGGAUAAGCUAAGCACACUGUUGGUUAUGUGUGCCCAAGCAUUGAGGCAGUCAAAGUAGGCAAAUCCGCUUUGAUAAUGCUGGGAUGUGAUGGGGAGCGAAAUUUAGUAGCGAAGUAGCUGAUUUCACACUGUCAAGAAAAGUCUCUAUCGAGGUUAAAGGUACCCGUACCGCAAACCGACACAGGGGGGUGAGGAGAGUAUCCUAAGGCCAGCGAGAGAACUGUUGUUAAGGAACUCGGCAAAAUGACCCCGUAACUUAGGGAUAAGGGGUGCCACCAUCAGGUGGCCGCAGAGAAUAGGCCCAAGCGACUGUUUACCAAAAACAUAGGUUUCUGCUAAGUCGCAAGACGAUGUAUAGGAGCUGACGCCUGCCCGGUGCUGGAAGGUUAAGGGGAUCUGUUAGAGCAAUCGAAGCAGUGAACUUAAGCCCCAGUAAACGGCGGCCGUAACUAUAACGGUCCUAAGGUAGCGAAAUUCCUUGUCGGGUAAGUUCCGACCCGCACGAAAGGCGUAACGAUUUGGGCACUGUCUCAACAACAGACUCGGUGAAAUUGUAAUUCCGGUGAAGAUGCCGGAUACCUGCGACAGGACGGAAAGACCCCAUGGAGCUUUACUGUAGCUUGACAUUGGGUCUUGGUACUACAUGUACAGGAUAGGUGGGAGGCUUUGAAACCAGGACGCCAGUUUUGGCGGAGCCAUCCUUGGGAUACCACCCUUGUAGUACUGGGACUCUAACCAUAGGCCAUGAAUCUGGUCUUGGGACACUGUCAGGUGGGCAGUUUGACUGGGGCGGUCGCCUCCCAAAAGGUAACGGAGGCGCUCAAAGGUUCUCUCAGUACGGUCGGAAAUCGUACGUAGAGUGUAAAGGCAAAAGAGAGCUUGAUUGCAAGACAUACAGGUCGAGCAAGGAUGAAAAUCGGACUUAGUGAUCCGGUGGUUCUGCGUGGAAGGGCCAUCGCUCAACGGAUAAAAGCUACCCUGGGGAUAACAGGCUUAUCUCCCCCAAGAGUCCACAUCGACGGGGAGGUUUGGCACCUCGAUGUCGGCUCAUCACAUCCUGGGGCUGUAGUAGGUCCCAAGGGUUGGGCUGUUCGCCCAUUAAAGUGGUACGCGAGCUGGGUUCAGAACGUCGUGAGACAGUUCGGUCCCUAUCCGUCGCAGGCGUAGGAAAUUUGAGAAGACCUGUCCUUAGUACGAGAGGACCGGGAUGGACGUACCUCUGGUGUACCAGUUGUUCUGCCAAGGGCAUGGCUGGGUAGCUAUGUACGGAAUGGAUAAGCGCUGAAAGCAUCUAAGCGCGAAGCCAACUUCAAGAUAAGAUUUCCCACCGCAAGGGUAAGACCCCAGAAAGACUAUCUGGUUGAUAGGUCGAAGGUGUAAGUGCAGCAAUGUAUUUAGCUUAUCGAUACUAAUAGGUCGAGGACUUGACCAA